GAUGAAGAACGUAGCGAAAUGCGAUAAGUAGUGUGAAUUGCAGAAUUCAGUGAAUCAUCGAAUCUUUGAACGCACAUUGCGCCCCUUGGUAUUCCAUGGGGCAUGCCUGUUCGAGCGUCAUCUACACCCUCAAGCUCUGCUUGGUGUUGGGCGUCUGUCCCGCCCCCGCGCGUGGACUCGCCCCAAAUCCAUUGGCAGCGUUCCUUGCCCCCUCUCGCGCAGCACAUUGCGGUUCUCGAGGGCGGCUCCGGGACGCGAUCCAGCAAGAUGACCACCGUCUUUGACCUCGGAUCAGGUAGGGAUACCCGCUGAACUUAAGCAUAUCAAUAAGCGGAGGA
Molecule: unclassified non-coding RNA, 338 nt
Filed under: soil metagenome
Description: partial contains 5.8S ribosomal RNA, internal transcribed spacer 2, and large subunit ribosomal RNA
Rfam family: 5.8S ribosomal RNA (bases 1-120)
Source: RNAcentral